GGAGAGGUGGCCGAGUGGCUUAAGGCAGCCGCCUGCUAAGCGGUUAGGGGUCUCAAAAGGCCCCUCCCGGGUUCGAAUCCCGGCCUCUCCGCCA
Molecule: transfer RNA, 94 nt
Filed under: Armatimonadota bacterium
Lineage: Bacteria; Bacillati; Armatimonadota
Description: Armatimonadetes bacterium tRNA-Ser
Rfam family: tRNA
About the family: Transfer RNA (tRNA) molecules are approximately 80 nucleotides in length. Their secondary structure includes four short double-helical elements and three loops (D, anti-codon, and T loops).
Source: RNAcentral